Long non-coding RNA from Numida meleagris (helmeted guineafowl), 2646 nucleotides. RefSeq lists it as uncharacterized. The transcript is spliced from 4 exons. The record is from RefSeq and is a predicted model, not a curated record. NCBI's taxonomy places the organism in Eukaryota, Metazoa, Chordata, Aves, Galliformes, Numididae.
UUAAGUAAGGUUUCUCAUGCGUUUGAAAGGUAAAUAUUAUCAUGUCAUAGAGUUUGUUGUUUUAAAUAAACAUAGUUGAAUAGCAGCCUUACAUCCUUAUACCUUAUGUACUUCUGAUGUAAGGAAGAAGUUCUUCACAGUAAGGGCAGUGAGGCAUUGGCACAGGCUGCCCAGAGAGGUGGUGGGUGCCCUGUCCUUGGAGGACACUCAAGGUCAGGCAGGAGCAGCAGACCAACCUGAUGUCCCUGAACCUGCCAGGUGAAAAUGACUGCAGCUCAAUGCACUGGUCACAGAGAAACUACUCAACUCUUCUCAGAGUCCCCCUCCCUGCUGCUGCAGUCACCAAGUGGGUGGAAAACGUCCUCAGAGACUUGUCCUGGGGUUGAUGGAAGAAGCUGUUAAAAGUGUGAAGAUCAGAAGCCAGUCUGGGAUGGUUCCUCUGGCCCAACAAAUCUCCAUCAAAACCAGCCAGUGAACUACUUGGCUUUUUCUUUCUUUUUCCUUUUCAGUUUUCCCAACACUCUGAAUCAAGGGUGGGCUGUACUGUCCUACAUUUGUUUCCCUGUCUCAUUUCAGGCUCCUGGGUUUGAAGGAACAGUGUUCCCACAAAAAGUCUGCAGAGGCCAGUGUUUGUUUUUCUAAAUGGUGACUGCUGAAACCUACUACGUUCUUGGCACCGCCUGAUGCGUAAAGUCAACACUAAAGUUCCUGUUGGCUAAAGUCCCUGUCUCAGAGACUGCUCUUUGCCCAUUUAUACCUCCAGUCCGAGUGAGGAGCCCCCGAGAAGCAGUCUGUGGUGGGCCCAUAAGGCACUCUGGGGACUGGGAAGCGUUCAGGCAGUGUUUGGAGGAAAGCAAAGGGAGGCCAUUGGGUAAGCCUUGGUGCCCCAGUGCUGUGAGAAGCCAAGAGUGGUGGCAGUAGAAGAUGUGGGGUUUUCAGCCUGUUGAGGUGCUUGUUUCUCAGAGUUCUUUGGAAGGAGGGGCACCUUGCUGUCAAAAUGUCAGCAGAACACCUGCUGAUAGGGCAGAGAGCAUGGGAUUACAAAAUUAACACAUUGUGCUGCCAGUGAUGGCUUUGCAGGAGAAUCAGCUGAGUCCUAACAGGGAAGUGAUGAAAGAGCAAUGACAAUCAAGCAGGAAAGAAGGACAAUGAGGGAGGCAGACAGAUGGGAAAUCUCCUUGCUUGGACAAAAAUACCAGUGUCAUUGCUCUCUCUUAUCCCAGCUGCAAAAUUUUCCCUUUUCCUUGCAGGAGAUGUGGCAGACAUCCUGCAGGCACACAGGGAGCCCUGCCACUAGCAUUGCAAAGGAGGGUCGAACUUCUUCAUGCUCCAAAAUCCAGACCUUGCGAGGACCGUUGUUGAAGUGCUGGUAGGGGAAGGCUGAUGAUGUGCGGCAAAGCCUGGUGCCAUCUGCCUUCAAUACACGGCAGACUCUUCCUGAUAGCACUGCUGCAUAGCAUCCUGCAGCUGACAACCAAUCUGAGUACCAAGAGUGGAAAAAGAGGUGGCCUGGGACUGCAGCACUGAAGAUCGGCAAUACUCUAUGAGCUCUUCUGCCAACAACAGCCCUGGUUUCUCAGUGCUGCUGCUCCUGGGGAGACACACAAGCUGUUAGCCUGACUUUGGCAACCCAGUGGCUGGAGCAAAGUGCAGUGUUUCUUGGGCUGCAGCCACAUCAUGGUCUGAUUGUGGGUAGUGAUAUCCCUCUGCAGAGGCAAGGCUGCUCAUAUCAGAGGCACUGAGAUCUGUCAGGGAGGUGCUGAGCCAGCAUGGGCACCAGCUGUCUUCUCUGGUGAGAACAGUGUCCAGAGGUACACACAGAAUGCUGAGGCAGAGAAAAACAGCACAGCAAGGAGGAAGGAUGCUGUCAAAUUGCCGCAGUUCUUGCUUCCAUGAGGCCAGUUGCUCUGAGCCAGAGUCUGGAUUCAUGACCCAAAGGAUGCAUGAGGAUCCCUAUUCAGAAAAUGCAAAGGAGAUUGUUCCUGUCACCAACGCUGACAACAUCUCCCUGGGAGACAAGUCUCUGAUGGAUGUGACCCCCUGGUUGGUGCCUCAUGUGAUGUUCCAUCUCCUGCUUCUGCUUCCACCCACGCUCCCCUCUCACAUGUACCAUGCGCUGCUGAGGGUUCUCUCGUGGAAGGCCAGGGGCUCAGCCUCCUCAGCAAGCCAGGUCAGCACUCUCAGGUUUCCAUUUAUUGCCAGUCAUUCAUCACUCACUGCAGUGCUAUUCAUAUGAGGCCAUGACAAAGGUUCAAAAGUCCAUCAGUGGUAAUGGAAAGGCUGAGACUGGCUGGUGGAAAUUAGUCUCAGAAUUUCCAUUGGGCACCAGAUGAAAAAAACUUGUGAUUUUCCUCUGCACUGCAGCAAUGUCUGAAUAGGAGACGAAUAGCAGAUAAGGCCUAAACCUUGCACUUCUGUGUGAAUAAUACUGAACUUCGCCAGCGGCAUGGCAGAGCCAUAUGCAUGGCAGCAACCUAAGGGAGAAAAAGGAAAGGAUAGACUUCUACUGAGAAGCAUCUGAAAGGAUUUCAUCACCAGAUACACUAUUGCUUUCUUCAUGCUUCAUUUCUUCACCAUGAAGAAAAAGGAAAAGAAAAGCACUGAGAGGCUUGGGGCUGAAAAUUCUUUCUGAUUCCUAAGAUAGCU